CCUACGGGCGGCAGCAGUGAGGAAUAUUGGUCAAUGGACGAGAGUCUGAACCAGCCAAGUAGCGUGAAGGAUGACUGCCCUAUGGGUUGUAAACUUCUUUUAUAUGGGAAUAAAACGUUCCACGUGUGGGAUUUUGUAUGUACCCUAUGAAUAAGGAUCGGCUAACUCCGUGCCAGCAGCCGCGGUAAUACGGAGGAUCCGAGCGUUAUCCGGAUUUAUUGGGUUUAAAGGGAGCGUAGGUGGAUUGUUAAGUCAGGUGUGAAAGUUUGCGGCUCAACCGUAAAAUUGCAGUUGAAACUGGCAGUCUUGAGUACAGUAGAGGUGGGCGGAAUGCGUGGUGUAGCGGUGAAAUGCUUAGAUAUCACGAAGAACUCCGAUUGCGAAGGCAGUUCACUGGACUGCAACUGACACUGAGGCUCGAAAGUGUGGGUAUCAAACAGGAUUAGAUACCCCUGUAGUC
This 460-nucleotide ribosomal RNA is filed under the name uncultured bacterium. RNAcentral's name for it is "partial 16S ribosomal RNA". It matches the Rfam family "Bacterial small subunit ribosomal RNA", at positions 338 to 795 of the family's 1533-position model. The record is from RNAcentral.